GAUGAACGCUGGCGGCGUGCUUAAUACAUGCAAGUCGAGCGAAAGGACGCUGAUCUUGUUGCUUUGAUGUUAGCGGCGGGCGGGUGAGUCACACGUGUAUAACCUACCUAUCAUACUGGGAAAAACUGGGGAAACCGGCGCUAAUCACGUAUGAUAUUUUGAAGCAAGUUGGUCAAAGGUGAAAGGCGGUCUUGCUGUCUCUUAUAGAUGGAUCCGGGCUGAAUUAGCUAGUUGGUAGGGUACCGGCUUACCAAGGCAAAGAUGCCUAGCCGAGCGGAGAGGGGGAACCGCCACACAGGAGCUGAGACGCGUCCCAGGCACCUACGGGAGGCAGCAGUAGGAAAUUGUCCGCAAUGGGCGAAAGCCUGACGGAGCAACGCCGCGUGAGUGAUGAAGCGCUGCGGAUCGUAAAACUCUGUUAUGAGGGAAGAACAUAUGUGUAAGUAACGGUGCACAUCUUGACGGUACCUAAUAAGAAAGCCCCGGCUAAUUACGU
Molecule: ribosomal RNA, 496 nt
Filed under: uncultured bacterium
Lineage: Bacteria
Description: partial 16S ribosomal RNA
Rfam family: Bacterial small subunit ribosomal RNA
Source: RNAcentral